AGGAGCCGAUGAAGGACGGGACGAACACCGAUAUGCUUCGGGGAGCUGUAAGCAAGCUUUGAUCCGGAGAUUUCCGAAUGGGGAAACCCACUGCUCGUAAUGGAGUAGUAUCCAUACUUGAAUACAUAGAGUAUGAGAAGGCAUACCCGGGGAACUGAAACAUCUAAGUACCCGGAGGAAGAGAAAGCAAAUGCGAUUCCCUGAGUAGCGGCGAGCGAAACGGGAACAGCCCAAACCAAGAGGCUUGCCUCUUGGGGUUGUAGGACACUCUAUACGG
Molecule: ribosomal RNA, 277 nt
Filed under: Bacillus stratosphericus
Lineage: Bacteria; Bacillati; Bacillota; Bacilli; Caryophanales; Bacillaceae
Description: partial 23S ribosomal RNA
Rfam family: Bacterial large subunit ribosomal RNA
Source: RNAcentral